UACGUAGGUGGCGAGCGUUGUCCGGAAUUACUGGGUGUAAAGCGCGUGUAGGCGGGAGGCCAAGGCUGUGGUGAAAUCGCUCGGCUUAACUGGGCGGGGUCCAUGGAAACUGGUCACCUGGAGGUCGGUAGAGGCAAGUGGAAUUCCCGGUGUAGUGGUGAAAUGCGUAGAGAUCGGGAGGAACACCAGUGGCGAAGGCGGCUUGCUGGGCCGGACCUGACGCUGAGGUGCGAAAGCGUGGGGAGCAAACAGG
RNAcentral lists this ribosomal RNA (253 nucleotides) under uncultured bacterium. Its description in RNAcentral is "partial 16S ribosomal RNA". It matches the Rfam family "Bacterial small subunit ribosomal RNA", at positions 524 to 776 of the family's 1533-position model. The record is from RNAcentral.